UACAGAGGUCUCGAGCGUUGUUCGGAUUCAUUGGGCGUAAAGGGCGCGUAGGCGGACUCGCCAGUCUGUGGUGAAAGCCCCCAGCUUAACUGGGGAAGUGCCGUGGAUACUGCGAGUCUGGAGGAGGGUAGGGGCAUCUGGAACGCUGGGUGGAGCGGUGAAAUGCGUUGAUAUCCAGCGGAACUCCGGUGGCGAAGGCGAGGUGCUGGACCCUUUCUGACGCUGAGGCGCGAAAGCCAGGGGAGCAAACGGG
This 253-nucleotide ribosomal RNA is filed under the name uncultured bacterium. RNAcentral's name for it is "partial 16S ribosomal RNA". It matches the Rfam family "Bacterial small subunit ribosomal RNA", at positions 524 to 776 of the family's 1533-position model. The record is from RNAcentral.